GGCCAGUGUGGUGUAGUGGUUUGAGUGUUGCACUAGGACACUGGGGUACCAGGGUUCGAAUCCCUGCUUGGCCA
Molecule: non-coding RNA, 74 nt
Organism: Phrynosoma platyrhinos (Desert horned lizard)
Lineage: Eukaryota; Metazoa; Chordata; Lepidosauria; Squamata; Phrynosomatidae
Source: the annotation of a GenBank genome assembly